Non-coding RNA from Podarcis lilfordi (Lilford's wall lizard), 75 nucleotides. NCBI's taxonomy places the organism in Eukaryota, Metazoa, Chordata, Lepidosauria, Squamata, Lacertidae. The record is from the annotation of a GenBank genome assembly.
GCCUGGAUAGCUCAGUUGGUAAAGAGUAUGGUGCCGAUAAUGCCACAGUUGCAGGUUUGAUCCCUGUGUGGGACA